GACGAACGCUGGCGGCGUGCUUAACACAUGCAAGUCGAACGGAAAGGCCCUGCUUUUGUGGGGUGCUCGAGUGGCGAACGGGUGAGUAACACGUGAGUAACCUGCCCUUGACUUUGGGAUAACUUCAGGAAACUGGGGCUAAUACCGGAUAGGAGCUCCUGCUGCAUGGUGGGGGUUGGAAAGUUUCGGCGGUUGGGGAUGGACUCGCGGCUUAUCAGCUUGUUGGUGGGGUAGUGGCUUACCAAGGCUUUGACGGGUAGCCGGCCUGGUAGGGUGACCGGCCACAUUGGGACUGAGAUACGGCCCAGACUCCUACGGGAGGCAGCAGUGGGGAAUAUUGCACAAUGGGCGGAAGCCUGAUGCAGCAACGCCGCGUGCGGGAUGACGGCCUUCGGGUUGUAAACCGCUUUCGCCUGUGACGAAGCGUGAGUGACGGUAAUGGGUAAAGAAGCACCGGCUAACUACGUG
RNAcentral lists this ribosomal RNA (468 nucleotides) under uncultured bacterium. Its description in RNAcentral is "partial 16S ribosomal RNA". It matches the Rfam family "Bacterial small subunit ribosomal RNA", at positions 28 to 507 of the family's 1533-position model. The record is from RNAcentral.